UACACACCGCCCGUCACACCACGAAAGUCUGCUGUACCAGAAGCCGUUGAGCUAACCCGCAAGGGAGGCAGACGUCGAAGGUAUGGUAGGUAAUUGGGUG
RNAcentral lists this ribosomal RNA (100 nucleotides) under uncultured bacterium. RNAcentral describes it as "partial 16S ribosomal RNA". It matches the Rfam family "Bacterial small subunit ribosomal RNA", at positions 1384 to 1482 of the family's 1533-position model. The record is from RNAcentral.